This 1320-nucleotide ribosomal RNA is filed under the name Hygrotus confluens. RNAcentral describes it as "16S ribosomal RNA". The stretch from base 1063 to 1221 matches the Rfam family "Eukaryotic large subunit ribosomal RNA", at positions 2825 to 2984 of the family's 3401-position model. The record is from RNAcentral. Lineage: Eukaryota; Metazoa; Arthropoda; Insecta; Coleoptera; Dytiscidae.
AAUAAUAAAUUAUUUAUUUUAUUUUUAAUUUUUAUUUAAUAAAAUUAAUUUUAUAUAUUUAUAUUUGAGUAUAUUUUAUAGAAAAAAUAUUUUUAAUUAUAGUUUAUUAGUAUUGUGAAAGAAAUUUUAAUUAUAAAUUUUAUUUAUAAGUAAAAUUUAUUUUUUGUACCUUGUGUAUCAGGGUUUAUUAAUUGAUUAGUAUAAAAUUUACUAUUCCCGAAUUUAAGAGAGAUAAUAAAUAGUUUUAUUUAUUGUUAAAAAAAUAUUUAUAAUUAUUUAUUAGUAAUGAAAAGUUAUUCGUUCUUUAAUAUAUCUGGUUUAUUUAGAAAUGAAUUUAAUUCAGUUAAAUUAAUUUAAUUAAUUUAAUUUUUUAAUUUAAUUAAUUUUUUUAAUAAUAAUUAAAGGGAUAAGCUUUUAAUUAAAUUUCUAUAAUUUUUUAAAUAAAUAAUAAAUUUAUAGGUUUAGAAAUAUCCAUUAUUUAUAAAAUGUUAUAAUUAAUUUAUUAAUUUAUAAUAUUAUUUUAAAAUUAUUUAGAUUUUUAUAAAUAAAUAAUAUUUAAUAAUAAAAUUUUAGUUAUUAUGAUAAAAUUAGUAUAUUAUUAAUUAUUUAAAUAUUAAUUAAAUUAAAAUUAUUUAAAUUAACUCGGCAAAAUUUUUAUUCGCCUGUUUAACAAAAACAUGUCCUUUAGAUAUAGAAUUUAAGGUCUAACCUGCCCAUUGAUUAAUUUUUAACGGCCGCAGUAAUUUGACUGUGCAAAGGUAGCAUAAUCAUUAGUUUUUUAAUUGAAAGCUUGUAUGAAUGGUUGGACGAGAUAAAAACUGUCUCUGAAUAAUAAAUAGAAUUUAAUUUUUAAGUUAAAAAGCUUAAAUUAAUGUAAAAGACGAGAAGACCCUAUAGAUCUUUAUAUAAAUUUUUAUAAUUUAAUUAAUGAUUAUUUUAUUGUUUAUAAUUUUUUAUAUUUUAUUGGGGUAAUAAAAAGAUUAAAUUAAUUCUUUUUUAUAGAACAUUAAUUUAUGAAUUUAUGAUCCAAAUUUUUUGAUUAUAAGAUUAAGUUACCUUAGGGAUAACAGCGUAAUUUUUUUAAAGAGUUCUUAUCGAUAAAAAAGUUUGCGACCUCGAUGUUGGAUUAAAAAUUAUUUUAGGCGUAGAAGUUUAAAUUUUUGGUCUGUUCGACCAUUAAAUUUUUACAUGAUCUGAGUUCAGACCGGUGUAAGCCAGGUCGGUUUCUAUCUUUAUAACAAGAUAAUAUUUUAGUACGAAAGGACCAAAUAUUUAAUAUAUAAAUAUUUAUAUUAUUGAUUAUAAUUAUUACUUUGGCAG